Small nucleolar RNA from Lotus japonicus, 81 nucleotides. RefSeq annotates it as small nucleolar RNA J33. The transcript has a single exon. NCBI's taxonomy places the organism in Eukaryota, Viridiplantae, Streptophyta, Magnoliopsida, Fabales, Fabaceae. The record is from RefSeq and is a predicted model, not a curated record.
CAGUUAGAGGUAUGAUGUACUACUAUCGGGCCCUCAAGAUGUUGGCUUUUCUAGAUUCUGCAUCAGAAAUGGACAUUCGUG